Molecule: ribosomal RNA, 253 nt
Filed under: uncultured bacterium
Lineage: Bacteria
Description: partial 16S ribosomal RNA
Rfam family: Bacterial small subunit ribosomal RNA
Source: RNAcentral
UACGAAGGGGGCUAGCGUUGCUCGGAAUCACUGGGCGUAAAGGGUGCGUAGGCGGGUCUUUAAGUCAGGGGUGAAAUCCUGGAGCUCAACUCCAGAACUGCCUUUGAUACUGAAGAUCUUGAGUUCGGGAGAGGUGAGUGGAACUGCGAGUGUAGAGGUGAAAUUCGUAGAUAUCGAGAGGAACACCGGUGGCGAAGGCGGCCAACUGGACGAAGACUGACGCUGAGACACGAAAGCGUGGGGAGCAAACAGG